Molecule: long non-coding RNA, 5314 nt
Organism: Acipenser ruthenus (sterlet)
Lineage: Eukaryota; Metazoa; Chordata; Actinopteri; Acipenseriformes; Acipenseridae
Exons: 2
Source: RefSeq, a predicted model, not a curated record
GGGUAUGAACUGCAGGGUCUGUGCUCAGUGACUGAGGGGGGUAUGAACUGCAGGGUCUGUGCUCAGUGACUGAGGGGGGUAUGAACUGCAGGGUCUGUGCUCAGUGACUGAGGGGGGUAUUAACUGCAGGGUCUGUGCUCAGUGACUGAGGGGGGUAUGAACUGCAGGGUCUGUGCUCUGACUGAGGGGGGUAUGAACUGCAGGGUCUGUGCUCUGACUGAGGGGUGUAUGAACUGCAGGGUCUGUGCUCAGUGACUGAGGGGGGUAUGAACUGCAGGGUCUGUGCUCAGUGACUGAGGGGAGGGAGGGGGGUAUGAUCUGCAGGGUCUGUGCUCAGUGACUGAGGGGAGGGGUAUGAACUGCAGGGUCUGUGCUCAGUGACUGAAGGGGGUAUGAACUGCAGGGUCUGUGCUUAGUGACUAAGGGGGGUAUGAACUGCAGGGUCUGUGCUCAGUGACUGAAGGGGGUAUGAACUGCAGGGUCUGUGCUCAGUGACUGAGGGGAGGAAGGGGGGUAUGAACUGCAGGGUCUGUGCUCAGUGACUGAAGGGGGUAUGAACUGCAGGGUCUGUGCUCAGUGACUGAGGGGGGUAUGAACUGCAGGGUCUGUGCUCAGUGACUGAAGGGGGUAUGAACUGCAGGGUCUGUGCUCAGUGACUGAGGGGAGGAAGGGGGAUAUGAACUGCAGGGUCUGUGCUCAGUGACUGAGGGGAGGAAGGGGGGUAUGAACUGCAGGGUCUGUGCUCAGUGACUGAGGGGGGUAUGAACUGCAGGGUCUGUGCUCAGUGACUGAGGGGGGUAUGAUCUGCAGGGUCUGUGCUCAGUGACUGAGGGGAGGGGUAUGAACUGCAGGGUCUGUGCUCAGUGACUGAGGGGAGGGGUAUGAACUGCAGGGUCUGUGCUCAGUGACUGAGGGGGGUAUGAACUGCAGGGUCUGUGCUCAGUGACUGAGGGGGGUAUGAUCUGCAGGGUCUGUGCUCAGUGACUGAGGGGAGGGGUAUGAACUGCAGGGUCUGUGCUCAAUGACUGAGGGGGGUAUGAACUGCAGGGUCUGUGCUCAGUGACUGAGGGGGGUAUGAACUGCAGGGUCUGUGCUCAAUGACUGAGGGGGGUAUGAACUGCAGGGUCUGUGCUCAGUGACUGAGGAGUGUAUGAACUGCAGGGUCUGUGCUCAGUGACUGAGGGGGGUAUGAACUGGAAGGGGGUGGUACCUGUCAAACAACAGCUCUCAUAGUUUUUGGUGUUUCUGUCAGGAAGGGUCAUCUGCACUGCUGUCUAGGGGAACCCCAUUUUCUCCAGAUGAGAAAAAAAUGUAUCCCUUAAUAGAAAGGCUGGUCGUUAAUUCGUAAGGUUGCUCCUGUAUUAAGACAACAGGACCAAAUCCAUUGUGCUGUUGUUGCUGUGGUCUGCUGAUGGAUCUGCUGCAGUUUCUUCAGGGUAAUACACUGAGAUUAAACCCUUAAUAGACCUAAAUUCUGAUUGAGACCCUAAUAUGGUCCUACAGGUGGAACUAGAGUAGAACACCCCCCCCAACAACUGAUGGGAUGGGACCCUUAAAUCAAGCAUCCAUAACAUUAAACACUCAACAGUGCCUAAUUUAAAAAUCCUAAAAGAAACUUCAUCAAUUCAAUUACAAUCGCUUCAACUUUAGAAGUGUUAACAAAGCAUUGAAGACCCUGAAAAAGACUUCUAGUUGAAGGUUUGUCAUUUCAUUUAUUACGCUUCUUUUAAUACAGGUUAAUCUGUCCACAAUUUAAAUAUCAUUACAUGUAAAUGUGUGAUUCCUGUUUUUCUAUGUAUUUUAAAUUGAACUUAACUAAAAUUUUGAUUUGCAAAUCAGUAUUCAAUAUUUAAAGACAUUUAAAAGUUUUGUAAUGUUAAACAGUCUAAUUUAGGAUACAUUACACCCCAGUUUUAACUACAGACCACUUUUCAAUAACAGGAAACUCAUGACAAACACCUUAUAAGGAUAAGUCCAAGUAUCCUCUAGCCUUUAACACAGAUAUACAAGCUCAAUAUAAAAUCAGUUAGUUAGUUAUUUGAGCAGGGUGGGUCAACUAGUUUGCACAGGUGUAGGUGAGACAGACACAACAACUAUUAUAGAUAUCCUGAACACCAAUACAUUGAACAACAGUCAAAAACAAGGGUCAUUCUAGCUGACCAGCAUUCUGUGGUCCAUUUGUGCUUGAUGAAAGAUCAAUGGAGAAAUUGGUUCUAGGGUAGGUGUAUGCGUAAGAACCGCUGUGUAACUCCACCGCGUGACAAACAGUAAAAAUGCCCGUUUUGGUGAUAUUGACCGAAUAUUUCUCCUUGAGGUAUGAUCUAGUCCCGUAGUUCAACUGGAGCCCAAAAAUGUUUCACUGUUGGGUGAGAGAGACAGACCUUGCAGUAUUUUAAUUUGGGUUUUAUCGUCAACGUUACUGCAUGGAAAGUUGUUUUAGACUACUUUAGAAUACUUUUUGUUUGCCUUGUCUCGGUUUUCAGUUCCCUGUUUAAAUUUGUUUUUAAAAAAGGGUCCCCCAAACAAAACAGUCUUGCGCAUAACGUUUCUAUUGUAAAGUGCUACAGAACUGCAGUGUUUACAAUGCAUUACUUCUCCUGUGCUGUAUCCCACUUCAACAUAAUCCCAUUGGUUGUGAUGCUUCUAUUCACACAUCACAGGUAAAUAAACUAGGGAAUAACUUUUUUCAACUUUUACUCGUUCGCCGGGAGAAAUGUUCCCCUAAACAUUGCUGUUUAUCCAGAUCAUGCUCCCUUUUGCAACAAUGUUAGUGACUGAAAUGAUUGUGGGAGCAGAAAACCGUCCAUAACUAUUAAACCCUCAAUAGCACUGAGUGUAGAUAUACUAAAGGAAACUUAAUAAACUGUCUAUAACUAUUAAACCCUCAAUAGCACUGAGUGUAGAUAUACUAAAGGAAACUUAAUAAACUGUCUAUAACUAUUAAACCCUCAAUAGCACUGAGUGUAGAUAUACUAAAGGAAACUUAAUAAACUCAAUAAGAAACUUUUCAAAGUUUUCAAUGUCUUCAAAAAGCAGCAUUUUUGCAGGAGGAAGCAUGGACUGGAUAUUAUCCUUAUCAGUAUCACUAGAUAAACGAUACAUAUCUUUAUUUUGAUAUGAUCUAUCAUGUUAAGAAAGUAUCACAAUUCAUCAAUAUGCAAUGAAUGAAUCGUCGUCGUCCCCCCCCCCCCCCCCCCACUUAUGAAUUAUGUGUGAUUUCAAACUUCAAAAAAGCAAGAUGUUUACAAAUAAAAUGCUACAAUACGGACAACACGGGAUACAGAAAGGUAAUGCAUUUUCUUUGUAAACACUGCAGGGGUUCUGGAACAGUAUAAAAUGUGCUUGGAAUCACCCAGAACUUGAUGUUGUGUAAACAGCACUUAGUGUCUUCUUGUUCCACUGAAUAACAGGUACCUCCCCUCUCUCCUUAGCCCCCAUUAUCAGUGAAAGUGUUCGUUUGUUCCUCCCUAGCAGAAAACUGCAAAAGCCGCUGACAGAAAGACAGGUGCUAGGUGUCAGCCUACCACCUCUUUACACAAACUUUCCAAUUCUGUUUGACUUUGAACCUGUUUGUACAUAAUGAAUAAUGAAAAGCAUGCACAUGUAUUGGUCUGUCAUGCAAUGACUUUGCUAAAUGUUUGAUACUGCUGGGUUUUUUUCAGUGAAAAAAAAAAAAACACACCUCUGUUUGGAUGCCACAGGAAUGUUUGCCUGUCUCUGUUUUUUUGUACUUUGACUCUGCUGCUUCAGCGACUGGAACUGAGAAUAACCUUGUUUAAAGAGUACUGUAUUUAAACAACUCCGCUCCAUCACUUUAUUGUUCAUAUAAUCAUAUAAUACAAUUCUCUUCCCCCGCAUAUCAUUCAUGGUAUUUGGUUUCUGAUUUUUUUUUUUGUCCACUGUAGUAACCAUUGUAGAACUAACCACAGCAGAAAUAACCACUGUAGAAGCAUCUUGUAAUGGUUAAUAGGUAUUGUUACAAACCGUGUGGAGCUAAACGUUUUAAACACCAGUUCCAAGGAUUAGAUGAAAACCAGAAAAAAAUACCAUGAAUGACAUGAAGGUGAGAGGAGGAAUUCAUUCUGUACACCCAAUUUGUUCCACCAAGAGUCAAUUUAUGUUGAAAUACCUUGUAAGUGUAGAAAAUGAAUCCAUACAUCGUGCCCGUUUUGCACUUCCAUUCACUACAUAGAUCUCCAAUGUGGCGAUUGACAGAAACACGUCUUACAGCAACAUGUGCAUUUUAAACAUACUUGGAGCUCCACUGGGUUAAAGAACAUGUUCACUUUCCAUGUCUCUGUUACACUUGCACAUCUGAGGUCACCUCAGCAGUGUCUUCUGGGCUACUGGCUGAAAGCAUGUCAGUCAACAGAGGAAGCAGCUGAUUGGUUAAUGACAGGAAAGAAGCCAUUGAUGGGGUGGGGACAAUUUCACCGUCCAUGUGAAAUGACCCAGGAAGUGCAACACUAAGUGAAAGUGUAAUCUCUCCUGCUCGCAGAGACUCAGAGGCGUUGUGGAAAUGGAAGUAAGCAUACCAAGACACAGUGGUGGUGGUAGCUGAUUGGGGGCCCCAAGGGGCAGUACUGUUAUUUCUUAUUACCCUGUCCUUUAUGUAAUUGAUUGCUAUUAAUCCGACUCCGAUUCUUAAUUAAAACAUUAUUUGCAGUUAGAAAAGGUGGAGCAAAUUUUGCACUGCAGCAAAAAGCUUUGAAAGUUGUCCUGUAAAUGUUUCUCUACUUCAUAACAUCGUCCUGGGUGUGUUCAGAGCAGAACAGUGCAACACUUGCAACAAUCUGUACUACUAAUCAGACAUAUGGAAACUCGACUCAAUAAGCAUUGUAUUACUUGCUUUCAACAGCAGAGGAUUUCUAUUUAAAGUCUAACUUGCUUUCUGUAUUCAGCUUGCUUACAUUUGCAACAUGAAUAGAUAGGCUAUCAAAUAGGCUGAAUACACCCAGUUCAAUGUUAUCUAUAGUCCCACCAGUUAAACAGAGAUACCAGAUUUUCCAUAUCAAUGCAAUGAAACAAUGAAAGGAUUUUAAUGUAUUGAUAGUCCAACAUCUGGAGAGUUAACAUUGUUACUCACAGCCAAUCCCCUUUCAAAAGAAAAAACAGCAAGAAAGAACCCAAUGGGAAGAUUCACGUUGAGCCUGAUGGAGAUUUUAAGAAAAAAAUAUUUUUGGGAGUUUUGUGAGGCUGAAAGUCUUGCUGGUGCCAAGCAUUGGAAGUUCUAGAUUUCUUAAUCUUAACCCAUUUCGUGUAUCUCUUAUCCAUAAGGGAAGAUUGUAAUAAUAAACAUUUCAUUUAUACUAAG